This 1113-nucleotide long non-coding RNA is filed under the name Eucalyptus grandis. RNAcentral describes it as "long non-coding RNA (EGRA_LNC007931)". Lineage: Eukaryota; Viridiplantae; Streptophyta; Magnoliopsida; Myrtales; Myrtaceae. The record is from RNAcentral.
UCUCAAACCACUUCUCCGUGAAGAAAUAAAAAUGUUGAACAUACAGCAACAAAUAACAAAUGUUAUUUCACAUCAACCAAGGGACCAUCAAUUACGGCCCUGAAGAGUGGACCAAAGCUAACGCAAGAAAAAUAUAUGCUAUUAAAAAUUAACACAUUGCAAAAUAACAAAUGUGCUUCGUCGGAGACGGUGGGGAAUAGCCGCUUGACGAAUGCCAGAGCAGCAACGAACAAGGAGAGAGAAGCGAGCGAGCGCCGGAGCAGGGGCGGCUUUAAUGUGCUUCGUCGGUGAUUGCGGGGAAACGGCCGCUUGAUGAGCGCCGGAGCAAGGGUGACCUUAAUGUGCUUCGUCGGCGACGGCGGUCGUCCUUGCUGACCUGCGCCAGGACUUGCUUGAGGUUGGUGCGGAGGGCGUUGGCGGUGGCCUCGUUGGCCUAGGCAAGGUCCCUCCAGAUCUGGUUCUCCACGCACAGCGACUUUACCCGCUCCAAAAAAAAAAAAAGACAGAAGCAAGGCCUGCUACAACCUCCAUUCCGCAUGCUCAACAGCAGCACCGACUUUGUCCUCUCCUUCACCACCACCUUUGUCUUAGUGGUCCUCACCCUCGUUCGCGGGCAACACUAGCAGUCACACCUGACAUUUGUUAUGUCACCGACUUCUCGAUAGCCUCUUCAAUGCUGAAACAACUUAGAUUCGUCAAAAUAAAUGUCCGCCGUGGGAAAGAGCGCAGAAACAGCGAAGAGAGCUCGAGCUGCAACGAACGCCAGAGCAGAGGCCUGGAGGAGCAAAUCUAAGAGCGAAGGGGAGAUCCAAAAUUUGAAUGAAGGAGGGGGAGAGAGAACGUCUUUGUUGCAGAAAGGAGGACGUCCAUUUUCUUCUUUAGGGAUGGAAGGAGACAGGAUAUGAGCGAGAGAGAGAGAAAUAAAUGCGUGCAGGCUGUUACGUGCAGGUCUAGUGAUAGGGGAAAUAAUAAAAAAAAUUUGUUUUGCGGGAGAAGAACUACUUCUACGAGAAAAUCUUCAGUGCCCCCACACCUCCACAUGGCGUUUCAUGACUCGUCGGAGACCACGCUGACGUGGUGGUCCGGAACCACCCAAUAUUUUCUCCUUUUUUU